This 762-nucleotide long non-coding RNA is filed under the name Homo sapiens (human). Its description in RNAcentral is "non-protein coding lnc-SLC25A15-4:1". Lineage: Eukaryota; Metazoa; Chordata; Mammalia; Primates; Hominidae. The record is from RNAcentral.
GUGGUGGCAUGUGCCCAUAACCCCAGCUACUCAGGAGGCUGAGGCAGGAGAACUGCUUGAACCCGGGAGGUGGAGGUUGCAGUGAGCUGAGAUCGUGCCACUGUACUCCAGCCUGGGCAACAAGAACAAAACUCUGUCUCAAAAAAAAAAAAAAAAUCUUGAUAAGAUUUCAUCUCUUUUCUCACUUUCUAUUGUCCCAAGAGCUAGUUCAUAAAUCUGCCUCAUAAUUAACCAGCUCUGUUAUUGACAAUCUUUAAAUAAAUAAAUAGGCAGAUCCUUUUUAGCUAGAUGCAAAAAACUACUUCACUUUGCACUUCCUGCUCCAACCCUCUGAACCUGUCUCCUUUCUGAAGGCCCAGUUACCAUUCUCCAUGACACAGACCAACCUGAUCCUAUUCCACAAUAGGAAAUUUCACAUGUCCUUAGAACUUCAAGUUAAUAAAUAGUAACACAGUAUGCUACAUGACUUUGUAUAAAGAAGGAGUACUGGCCAAGCGCCGUGGUCCACACCUGUAAUCCCAGCGCUUUGGGAGGCCAAGGCAAGUGGAUCACUUUAGGUCAGGAGUUUGAGACCAGCCUGGCCAACAAUGGUGAAAUCCCAUCUCUGCUAAAAAUAUAUAAAUCAGCCGGGCAUGGUGGUGGGCUCCUGUAGCCCCAGCUACUCAGAAGGCUGAGGCAGGAGAAUUUCUUGAUCCCAGGAGGUAGAGGUUGCAGUGAGCUGGGGUUGCACCACUGUACUCCAGCCUGGACAACAGAGCAAGA